This 89-nucleotide small RNA is filed under the name Salmonella enterica subsp. enterica serovar Javiana. Its description in RNAcentral is "partial RtT sRNA". It matches the Rfam family "RtT RNA", at positions 50 to 130 of the family's 130-position model. From Rfam's summary of the family: This family represents a bacterial cis-regulatory element known as RtT RNA. The exact function of RtT is unknown although it is thought that it may be involved in changing the cellular response in relation to amino acid starvation. The record is from RNAcentral. Lineage: Bacteria; Pseudomonadati; Pseudomonadota; Gammaproteobacteria; Enterobacterales; Enterobacteriaceae.
AAACUCAGAUGUUGAGCGUGAAGGAUAACGUUGCGUCAGCAACGGCCCGUAGGGCGAGGCGAAGCCGAGUCAUCCUGCACGACCCACCA